UACGUAUGGAGCAAGCGUUAUCCGGAUUUACUGGGUGUAAAGGGAGCGCAGGCGGUCUGGCAAGUCUGGUGUGAAAGGCCGGGGCUCAACCCCGGGACUGCAUUGGAAACUGUCAGACUGGAGUGUCGGAGAGGCAAGCGGAAUUCCUAGUGUAGCGGUGAAAUGCGUAGAUAUUAGGAGGAACACCAGUGGCGAAAGCGGCUCUCUGGCCUGUAACUGACACUGAGGCUCGAAAGCGUGGGGAGCAAACAGG
Molecule: ribosomal RNA, 253 nt
Filed under: uncultured bacterium
Lineage: Bacteria
Description: partial 16S ribosomal RNA
Rfam family: Bacterial small subunit ribosomal RNA
Source: RNAcentral